CCUACGGGGGGCAGCAGUAGGGAAUAUUGCUCAAUGGGCGAAAGCCUGAAGCAGCAACGCCGCGUGGAGGAUGAAGGUUUUCGGAUUGUAAACCUCUUUUGUUAGGGAAGAAAAUGACGGUAUCUAACGAAUAAUCAACGUCUAAUACCGUGCCAGCAGCCGCGGUAAUACGGCGGGUGCAAGCGUUACUCGGAAUCACUGGGCGUAAAGAGGGCGUAGGCGGGUUAGCAAGUCAGUGGUGAAAUCCUAGGGCUGAACCAUAGAACUGCAGUUGAAACUGGUAUUCUUGAGUAUGGGAGAGGUAGGUGGAAUUCGUGGUGUAGGGGUGAAAUGCGUAGAGAUCAAGAGGAAUACUCAUUGCGAAGGCGACUUGCUGGAACAUAACUGACGCUGAGGCGCGAAAGCGUGGGUAGCAAACAGGAUUAGAUACCCUAGUAGUC
Molecule: ribosomal RNA, 440 nt
Filed under: uncultured bacterium
Lineage: Bacteria
Description: partial 16S ribosomal RNA
Rfam family: Bacterial small subunit ribosomal RNA
Source: RNAcentral